Molecule: ribosomal RNA, 305 nt
Filed under: uncultured bacterium
Lineage: Bacteria
Description: bacterial SSU rRNA
Rfam family: Bacterial small subunit ribosomal RNA
Source: RNAcentral
UUGUGCCUACGGGAGGCAGCAGUGAGGAAUAUUGGUCAAUGGGCGCGAGCCUGAACCAGCCAAGUCGCGUGAGGGAAGACGGUCCUAUGGAUUGUAAACCUCUUUUGUCGGGGAGCAAAAGACGCCACGCGUGGCGUUCCGAGAGUACCCGAAGAAAAAGCAUCGGCUAACUCCGUGCCAGCAGCCGCGGUAAUACGGAGGAUGCGAGCGUUAUCCGGAUUUAUUGGGUUUAAAGGGUGCGUAGGCGGAAUAUCAAGUCAGCGGUAAAAAUUCGGGGCUCAACCCCGUCGUGCCGUUGAAACUGA